RNAcentral lists this ribosomal RNA (405 nucleotides) under uncultured bacterium. Its description in RNAcentral is "partial 16S ribosomal RNA". It matches the Rfam family "Bacterial small subunit ribosomal RNA", at positions 30 to 526 of the family's 1533-position model. The record is from RNAcentral.
AUUGAACGCUAGCGGGAUGCUUUACACAUGCAAGUCGAACGAGUCGCGGACGGGUGAGUAAUAUAUCGGAACGUCCCCAGUAGCGGGGGAUAACUACUCGAAAGAGUGUCUAAUACCGCAUACUAUUGGAGCUGCCUAUAUGGGAUGAGCUAGUUGGUGGGGUAAAGGCUCACCAAGGCCACGAUCCGUAGCUGGUUUGAGAGGAGGACCAGCCACACUGGGACUGAGACACGGCCCAGACUCCUACGGGAGGCAGCAGUGGGGAAUUUUGGACAAUGGGGGAAACCCUGAUCCAGCCAUCCCGCGUGUAUGAGAAGGCCUUAGGGUUGUAAAGUACUUUUGGCAGAGAAGCGGUAUCUGCAGAAGAAGCACCGGCUAACUACGUGCCAGCAGCCGCGGUAAUAC